AUACCUUUCUCGGCCUUUUGGCUAAGAUCAAGUGUAGUAUCUGUUCUUAUCAGUUUAAUAUCUGAUAUGUGGCCCAUCGGGUCACACGAUAUUAAAUUAAUUUCUUGAGGGGGGAGGGUUCGCCACAGUAGCUUGCUACUGGGACCUUCAAGCGUCGCCCAUGCGUUGCACUAUUGCACUGGCCUGGCGCACCCCAC
This is a small nuclear RNA of Alnus glutinosa, 197 nucleotides long. RefSeq annotates it as U2 spliceosomal RNA. The record is from RefSeq and is a predicted model, not a curated record. The transcript has a single exon. NCBI's taxonomy places the organism in Eukaryota, Viridiplantae, Streptophyta, Magnoliopsida, Fagales, Betulaceae.